GACGAACGCUGGCGGCGUGCCUAAUACAUGCAAGUAGAACGCUGAAGGAGGAGCUUGCUUCUCUGGAUGAGUUGCGAACGGGUGAGUAACGCGUAGGUAACCUGCCUGGUAGCGGGGGAUAACUAUUGGAAACGAUAGCUAAUACCGCAUAAUAUUGACUAUUGCAUGAUAGUCAAUUAAAAGGUGCAAUUGCAUCACUACCAGAUGGACCUGCGUUGUAUUAGCUAGUUGGUGAGGUAACGGCUCACCAAGGCGACGAUACAUAGCCGACCUGAGAGGGUGAUCGGCCACACUGGGACUGAGACACGGCCCAGACUCCUACGGGAGGCAGCAGUAGGGAAUCUUCGGCAAUGGACGGAAGUCUGACCGAGCAACGCCGCGUGAGUGAAGAAGGUUUUCGGAUCGUAAAGCUCUGUUGUAAGAGAAGAACGAGUGUGAGAGUGGAAAGUUCACACNGNGACGG
This 463-nucleotide ribosomal RNA is filed under the name uncultured bacterium. RNAcentral describes it as "bacterial SSU rRNA". It matches the Rfam family "Bacterial small subunit ribosomal RNA", at positions 28 to 475 of the family's 1533-position model. The record is from RNAcentral.